GACGAACGCUGGCGGCGUGCUUAACACAUGCAAGUCGAACGGAAAGGCCCUGCUUUUGUGGGGUGCUCGAGUGGCGAACGGGUGAGUAACACGUGAGUAACCUGCCCUUGACUUUGGGAUAACUUCAGGAAACUGGGGCUAAUACCGGAUAGGAGCUCCUGCUGCAUGGUGGGGGUUGGAAAGUUUCGGCGGUUGGGGAUGGACUCGCGGCUUAUCAGCUUGUUGGUGGGGUAGUGGCUUACCAAGGCUUUGACGGGUAGCCGGCCUGAGAGGGUGACCGGCCACAUUGGGACUGAGAUACGGCCCAGACGCCUACGGGAGGCAGCAGUGGGGAAUAUUGCACAAUGGGCGGAAGCCUGAUGCAGCAACGCCGCGUGCGGGAUGACGGCCUUCGGGUUGUAAACCGCUUUCGCCUGUGACGAAGCGUGAGUGACGGUAAUGGGUAAAGAAGCACCGGCUAACCACGUG
Molecule: ribosomal RNA, 468 nt
Filed under: uncultured bacterium
Lineage: Bacteria
Description: partial 16S ribosomal RNA
Rfam family: Bacterial small subunit ribosomal RNA
Source: RNAcentral